This is a long non-coding RNA of Brassica napus (rape), 399 nucleotides long. RefSeq lists it as uncharacterized. The transcript has 2 exons. The record is from RefSeq and is a predicted model, not a curated record. NCBI's taxonomy places the organism in Eukaryota, Viridiplantae, Streptophyta, Magnoliopsida, Brassicales, Brassicaceae.
GUCAACAGGUGCGGAAGAUGAAAACUCAUCUGCGAUGGAGGUUGACAGUGAGAAUGGGAACCCAAAGAAAAGGUCUGAGAUUGGUGAGAGACAACAGUGGUGCUUAUCAACACUUGGCUAUCUCACGGCGUUUACAAGACAAUAUGCAAAGGAGAUAUGGCCUCACAUGGAGAAGUUGGAGUCGGAGGUGUUCUCUGGAGAUGAUGUUCAUCCUCUCUUUCUUCAAACCAUAUUCUCUGCACUCCAGUUCCCUUUGCAAUAAGUUCUUAUCGUUUCAUCCAAAAACAAAGAAGAGAGUUAGCUCAUCUUUUCUGUAUCUUUUAGCCUUUUCCUGCUGAUCAAAAAAGACACCACACAUUCGCUUCUUCCCUAAUCUUUGCAAUGCAAUCUCUUCCAUCA